UCCCUGGUGGCUCAGCGGAUAAAGCGUCUGCCUGCAAUGCAGGAGACCCGGGUUUGAUCCCUGGGUUGGGAA
Transfer RNA from Ovis aries (sheep), 72 nucleotides. It matches the Rfam family "tRNA". Rfam says of the family: Transfer RNA (tRNA) molecules are approximately 80 nucleotides in length. Their secondary structure includes four short double-helical elements and three loops (D, anti-codon, and T loops). The record is from Rfam. NCBI's taxonomy places the organism in Eukaryota, Metazoa, Chordata, Mammalia, Artiodactyla, Bovidae.